UUUGGAGUACAAGUGAGAUUAUUCUCAUUAUCCAAAAGACAUUGUGUACUCCUUAUUUUUCCCCACAGGGUUUUUGAGGAGAUGAUAUAUUGAAAGACGGCUUGCAGAUGAUCAAAUGUACUUGAAUUGAUUAAGGGGGAGUGUUACAAUAGUUGUGAUCAAUCCCCUCCAUGGGGUGCGACACGUUCUCACUAAGGGCUAGUUUGGAAACUCAGAUCUCUUUCGGGAUUGAAGGGGAUUGGAGAGGAAAUUAGUUCAUUUCUACCUUAAUCCCCUCCAAUCCCGAAGGGGAUUUGAGGUUCCCAAAGUAGCCCUAAGGGACACACCACUUGGAGAGACACUGAUUCGCUUGUAUAUAAGCAUUGUCUUCCCUGUAAUAAAGUGAUUGUCUCUGUCAUUUUGUCUGUCUCCCUCUCCACUGAGCAAUAGACUGCAACAGAGAGCAAUGCAAGUUGGAACUGCGGAGCAUGCGGCGUCACGAAGAGGAAGAGGAAGAGCAUAUGUUGGUGCCUUGGUGGCGCACACGGCUUCACGAGCAGCGGAUGCGGCGCGGCGACACGAAACCUCCAAUUCGCCAAGCGGGCCAUCUCCACGGGGAGGAAGAGGGCAAUGCCUUGGAACCGCGGAGCAUGCGGCGUCACAGGGAAGAAGAGCAGAUGUUGGAUGGCGCACUCGGCUUCACGGGCGGAACACGGCGGUGUGUGGACCAGCCAACCUCGCGCGGGCACCGAGCAAUAGGGAGCGGGCACCGCUACCGCUGGCUGGACAAGGAAGAAGAGAGCGAAUCUGGGGGCGGUUGUAGCGGCCACAACGUGUGGAGGGAGA
Molecule: unclassified non-coding RNA, 825 nt
Filed under: Zea mays
Lineage: Eukaryota; Viridiplantae; Streptophyta; Magnoliopsida; Poales; Poaceae
Description: misc RNA Zm00001eb420760
Source: RNAcentral